UGUGAGGUCUGUGAGAAAUGUUUGGAUAAGAUCUUUUGGUGCUGUUCCCAGAACAUAGUUCAUGUGAUAUCAAAGAAUCCUGAUGUUUUGCCAGGGAACUUUUUGUCAUUGGGAAUUUGGAGGCUGGGUUUGUAAAGGAUUGGAUAAGCUGCAAUACAAAGGCAACUCCUGAGCAACCUAUUCUGGCAGGCCGUCUUCUGUCAAAGGCCACCUGUACCAGCAGACUCCACCCAAAAGAAGAAUGGAGCAAAGGAGAGACAGUUUCCAUUAUGAUCUGGUAUGAGGAAGGUCUCAAACAGGUUUAAAAAUGGCUGAAAAAUGAGCCAGAUUUGUACUGCUAACAAUUAUAUAUGAUGGCAGAAGAAUUGGGUUUGGAGUCAUGAUGGAAAAUGAGUAAACUCCCAAAUGUGUUCCUCUUUUGUUAUUACAUGAAUGGUACAAUCAACAAUCAUCAAGUCCUUCUACCGAAUCUCUUGCUCAGAAAGGAAAAAUGAGGAAGCUGGCUAAUGCU
Neopelma chrysocephalum (saffron-crested tyrant-manakin) is the source of this 511-nucleotide long non-coding RNA. RefSeq lists it as uncharacterized. The transcript has 3 exons. NCBI's taxonomy places the organism in Eukaryota, Metazoa, Chordata, Aves, Passeriformes, Pipridae. The record is from RefSeq and is a predicted model, not a curated record.